ACCACUGGCAUCAACCUUAUGGCUUUCCCCUGUUUGAGAUGAAACUCAGAAACCUGUAGCAGAGAAAUGCUGCAUGGAGCCACAAAACUGGCAGUUCACAGAGUACAGUGAGAGCAAGUGAAUGAGAUAUUAAACAUGGCCAAGUUUGACCUCUUAAUAGUAAUGAUCUGACAGAACUUGCAAAACACAAAGUCAAACCUCAGAAGACUGGACAAAGAACUACAGAGACAGACCAGUCAAAUAUGCAACAGAAAUUUCAGUCACGUCUGUCAACGAGGUGUAGAAGAGGUGUAUAGAUUAAGAACAAAAAUUGCCUCGCUCAGCUUGCAGAUGAGAUACUAUCGUCAAGGUUAUCACUGUACCUCUGCUGGAGAUAACACGUGUGCCUGUAAUUUUGAUUCACAAGUCUGCUAUU
This is a long non-coding RNA of Cygnus atratus (black swan), 415 nucleotides long. RefSeq lists it as uncharacterized. The record is from RefSeq and is a predicted model, not a curated record. NCBI's taxonomy places the organism in Eukaryota, Metazoa, Chordata, Aves, Anseriformes, Anatidae. The transcript is spliced from 3 exons.